UAAGUGUAGGGCUACAACCCACAGAGGGGAUGGAAGAGAGGUGCUGGGUUGGGACUCCCCAGGAGGGGUUUUUGAGUCAAUUUUGGAGAUGGGGAUGCCCAAGAAGCGUCUCCUAAGGCCACCUAAAGGGAAAGCGUCUGUUUUGAUCUCAGUGCUGAGGUGCUCAGGGCAGAGCAGUGUUGGCGUGUGUCCUGUCACUUGUCUCCGGUGCACUCUAUGUUCUUUGGGUCUCUCAGUCCUUUCUUCUCCUCAAAAGCUUUCUGUCCCUGUCCUGUGUCACAGGUGUCUGCACAUAUUUUUCCUGGAGCUGCUCUGUCCUGUUGCAUAGCCUGUAAUAGCACAAGUCCUGGGGACUUGAAAUUUGUAAUGCCCGGUGUAGUUGGGCUCUAAAUUGUAUCAGGAGGUUGCCAUAACAUGUUUGGUGAUGCUAAGUUGUCCUGCAGCUGUUUGACAUUAGUCCUAAUUUCCUUUCAGAUGCAGGCAGUUCAAAUCGGUGGCAGAGGGCCCCAGUCCUGGGGGAGGGUGUUUCCAUGAGCAGGUCAGUCAUUGUUUGCAUUUGCAGGGGGAGCCUAAAUGGUGACCGUAUUACAGCGGUGCUCUUUACCUUUAUUUUUAGGAGGUCCAGGUAGAUAGCACCAGUCAAGGCCAAGUGUGCCAGGGAAUCCACUCAGAGUAUGCCAAGCCUUUGUGCCCGACAGCUGAUGGCCUGGAUUUCCUGUGCUUGUGAGCCCUCUGGAAGUAUUGCUGGACUCUGAGAUGAAGCCUUGAAAUUUUGUAUUUCACGAUGGCAUGCAGGUAUCCUUUGGCACUGGCUGAGGAGUUGCGGUGAGUCGCCGAGGUAGGGAGGGGGAGGCAAGGUCCUCUUAGGUUUCAGUAAUGCCGCGUCACUUUGUCUCUUCUUAACCCAGGCAGACCCUGCGAUGAUGGUGGCAGCCUCCUAGCCUGGCCAAAGUGCGUGGCCCGAGCAUUCUUAGGAGAAUGCUGAGCACGGGACCACAGCCCGGUGACCAUAGGACAUUCUCAGGAGGCGAGGCAGCCUCCAUUGGCACACGAUGUGGAUUCUCAUCCCCAGAUGCCUGAGAGAUAAGUUGAGGGCUAAGGCCCACAGAGGGGAUUAAAGUAGGGUGCUGGGAGGGCCUUUUGGAUCAGCUUUGGGGGCAGGGAUGUGCAAGAAGUGUCCCCUUAGGCCAGCUAUAGGGAAAGUGUCUGUUUUGGUCACAGUGCUGACGUGCUCAGGGCAGAGCAGUGAUGGGGUGUGUCCUGUCACUUGUCUCUGGUGCACUCUGUGAUCUUUGGGUCUCUCAGUCCUUUCUUCUCCUCAAAAGCACUCUCUCCUUGUCCUGUGUCACGGGUGUCUGCAAGUAUUUUUCCUGGAGCUGAUCUGCCCUGCUGCAUAGCCUGUAAUAGCGCAAGUCCUGGGGACUUGAAAUUUG
This is a non-coding RNA of Lonchura striata (white-rumped munia), 1433 nucleotides long. The record is from RefSeq and is a predicted model, not a curated record. Lineage: Eukaryota; Metazoa; Chordata; Aves; Passeriformes; Estrildidae.